AGGCAGAGAGGCACGUCCUUUUUUGUAUUCGGGAGGCUCCCAUCCAAUCCACUCUCCGCCAUCGUUAUCUCCCCCCAACCCCAAUAAAAGCCUCUUUCUUUCUUUCUUUCUUUCCCUCACCAUAACCAGGAGAAAUUCCCUUGACUCGACCAUUGAUACGGACUGCUGUGCGCCCUCAUCUUCUUCAUACGAUCCUGAGGAUGAUGAUGAUGAUCACGAGCUGACUGCUGAGCGAUUGCUGCUUAAACUGACCAAGCAGUCUUGUCCAAGAUACAUAAAGGAUAUGAGAAGGCAUAGUCCCUCGGUUCAAGUUACUGCUCAGACAUACGACCAACAAAUAUUGAUUGAGAGUCUUACUUGAUGGCGCUCCGCAGGGAUGUCCAACGGGACAAUUAAGGCUGUAGGCUUUUUGAGGACUUGAAAUUGUCAUUAUUCUAUCCAUGUGGAAACACUUCUCAGCAAGGGCAGAGCAGUGUAAAAGAGGAUGAACCUGAGCUAAAGGAAUUGUAGAAGAGUCUGUGGCAAGUGUGCACUCGAAUUAUAAAUGGGGUUGCCCCAACAUUCUUCUAACAAUGAAGUCAUAGCAUUAGUGAGCACAUCUGUGCAGGCUACUUCUCUUGUCGCUGGUGCACACAAUCAUGACAUGACUGCAGUGCAUGAAGGGAAGCUCGGGAACUGGGUACAUGUGAAUAUGGCUCCGCCUUGCUUUUCUUCUGCAGAACUGCAAAGGAAAUGUAGCUUCGAGAUUUCAAGGAAUCCUGAUGAAUUGUACAAGCAUAUAGACAAUGAGUGGGAGGAGCAAAGUUUGAGAAUUAACGCCAUCAAUCAACAUGAGUGGUUGCAUGGUAAAAGGAAGCAGAUUACUCGAGCACCUGCUGUUAAGAUUGUGGGUUUUGAAUUGGGACCUCCGGAUUUUCUGUCAAAUGUGGUUAAUGGAAAACCGUCUUUAUUCAGUCAGGUUAGUAGAACAGGUAGGACAAAUGAGGGCUCUGGCUCCCUAGCCAGGAAGCGUGUCUUGUCCCCUCCAAACAGAAUGCUUCUCCCAGACCAAUAUGAUGGUGACAUUUUAGAUAUUGGCCAAAGCAUGUCUGUAAAUGAUAGUUCUCAAAAUGGCGUCUCCUUAAUGCAAGAAUCUAAAAAAGCUCAUAUUGGCAAUUCUGGUGAUUCUGACUUCACUAUUCGGUCAGCAGACGGUCUUUCAAAGUGGAACAAUUCACUUGGAGAAGACUGCAGAAAAAAUUCCAUUCCUCUUACUGAUGGCCCUUUGCUUGAGAAAGCGGCAAUGCAGUCUAAAUCUUCUACAUUUUCUACUGGAAUAAAUCAUAUGAGAGGAACAACUAAGGUAAGGUCCUCGUUAGUUGCCAUAGACAUACCCAGGGAGAAGGUAGUUUCACCUCCUCCGUCUCCUCUGGGGCCAAAACUCUUUGAUAGGAUGAGAUCCACAAGCAGAUGCGAAAGCAUUCCAAAGAAGUUUGAGGAUGACUGUAUAGCCUCAAAGGACGUGGAAAGGUUGCUCGAUGGAGGUUUGAGCAAUGUUUUAUCUUCUGACGAGGGGAUGGACUUUCAGAAUACUAAAUCUUUGCACAAACAUUAUUCAUUACCCAAAGAAUUCGUUUCCUUUACAUCAGAGAGCACCACUGGCAGUGGAAAGCAUUGUGGUCUGGAUUUAAAGUGUAACUCUCAACGUUGCAAAUUUGUCCAGUUUCCAGUUAGAAGAUCAUUAGUGGGUUCAUUUGAGGAGUCCCUCUUUUCAGGUCGGCUCUUAUCCUGUAAAGUCAACCAGAGAAUUGAGGGUUUUCUCGCUGUUCUAAAUAUCACUGGGGGUGAUUUUUCUCCCAAAGCGCAGAAACUUCCAUUUGCAGUCACCAGUGUAGAUGGAGAUAACUACUUGCUGUACUAUUCUUCUAUAGGUCUCUCUGAUACCUUGGCAGCUGACGGUUGUAAAGGAGCAAAACUAAAGAGGAGCAAGAGCGUCAACUGUUUACGAGAAGAAAAGAGCUGCCUGCAUAUACCCAUGAAAGGUCGAAUACAACUGGUUCUUAGCAACCCAGAGAAGACACCUAUCCACACGUUCUUCUGUAACUAUGACUUAAGUGACAUGCCAGCAGGUACAAAGACCUUCCUGCGUCAAAAAAUCAUGUUAGCAUCUUCUGGAUUGAAUCCUAUAGCGGAAAAUGGAAGUCUGAGAGACGCCGGAGCAAAAGUUGAUUUUAAGCCGUCUGCAAUUACACAUUCUUCACAAGCCAGCAAUAGUUAUUCGAAAUUAGAUGGUGUUGAAUAUAUGGAAAGGUCAGCAAAGCCAAAUAAAGAGAUGAAGGCAAAAGGCUUUGGCUGCAUCGAUGAUCUUCCGAAUCACUUGAGAAAAUUCGCCAUGAAUGACGAGCCUGCAAAGACUGACGAAGGGAGCUCCCAAUCAGAUACAAAUACAGUACCUACUAACUCAUCGAAGGUCAACCAGGUCCCUGGUGUUAGAGGCUCUUUGCGUUAUGCCCUUCAUCUCCGAUUCUUUUGCCAGUUUUCCAAGAAAUUCAAGUCGGUAAGGAGGUGUAACUCUGAUCCAUCAUCUGCUCCAACUGGGAAAAACAAUUGCAACGAUGGGCCACGGCGAUUUUACUUGUACAAUGACUUGAAAGUUGUCUUCCCUCAACGGCAUUCAGACUCAGAUGAAGGCAAGUUGCACGUGGAGUAUCAUUUUCCAUCAGAUCCAAAAUACUUCAACUUAAACUGAAUGGUCCAGCACAUCUUCUUUACACAAUGUUGGACACAGCAUCAAAGAUUCUGUAUAGGUCAAUUUCUUAAUGAAAAGUUACUGUACAUAUGUGUACAUUUGAUCUCUUUUAUUGCUAUUCUUCAUACGAACUUCGGUUUUGCUAGUUUGGUUGCAGGUUGACCUAGUCCUUACAUGCCAUACUUUGUUCCCUCUCCAGCAAUGAUAUAGCAGUAAUCCCAGCUCUCUCUCUCUCUCUCUCU
This is an RNA transcript of Rhodamnia argentea, 2970 nucleotides long. RefSeq lists it as uncharacterized. Lineage: Eukaryota; Viridiplantae; Streptophyta; Magnoliopsida; Myrtales; Myrtaceae. The transcript has 7 exons. The record is from RefSeq and is a predicted model, not a curated record.